CCGGCCAUUGAUGCCUUCCACCACCGCCUUAGCUGGCACGACCAAUAACGUCCAAACACGUGGGCGUAUCUUAGCCCGUCAAAACUAGCACCGCUUUAAUCGGGCCGUCCAUGUUUUCCAAGCGGUCCAUAAAUACCUAGCGCCUCUCCUAGUUUCUUCCAUCGCUGGGGCGUCUGAUCGUGUUUGAGGCUGGUUGUGGAUGUCCGUUCAUACUCGUAUCGUUUGGUUUUUAACUUUAGUUUUGUAGAGCUUUUUUUUUUCUGGUGAUUUUUUUUCAUUUUGUAUGUUUUUAGUUUGCUUUUGAUUAGGCUUUUUUAUUAACCUGAUUUUAUUAUGAAUAGUUGAUUAGCUUGUGAAUCUGUCUAUUUGUUGGGGGAUUAAACUUUUUAUGUGGAUCUGUAUUUUUUUUUUUGGUGUAAGUUUUAUGUUUUAGUUCUUAAAUUCGUAUAAAUAUUUCUUCCAGGUUGUAAAUAAUUAUGCUGCUCUGGUUCAUUUCGUCUGAAGUUCUUUUGCUCUGUUUCGCGAUCUAUAAUUUUUUAUUUACUAUUAAUUUUUCUUUACUUAAAAAAUGCUUCUGAUUUUGUAUAUAUUUUGAACUCAACGCGAACCGACAUCUCUUCCUGUUUUCCUCCUCCUCUGCGAUUUUUGUGAAAGUUUUGCAAUUUUUUUGUGAUUGAUUUCGUUAGUUCUCUGUUCUGACACCGAUUUAGUUGCCGAUCUACGCAUCUUGGGCUGUUUUAGGUCUGGCGAUCUUCUUUUCCCCCUCUAUUUUGUCCGCUAUAUCAUCUUCAGGUCUGCUGCAGCCGAUCUACGCCCGAUGGAUGAGCCUCUGGACACAGGAAGCCAGGAUCGAGACUUUUUGUUUCAGAUCUACGGGAUUGGUUGAGAUCUAGUUGAGAGCGCGAUUCUUUGUUGCAGAUCUGUGUUGCUAAGGUGUGAUCGUGGCGAUCUUCGUCUUCCACAUCGUCGUCCUGUGAUCGGAUGUAAAACAAAUAAGAGCAAAUGGAAGCCUGGGAUCUACAUGGAGGGGAAAGGUAAGGGUCGGGGGAAAACUUCUCUUUUAGAUCUGUUGUCGUUGUUAACCGACCUUUGCCAUGUUGGGUGCGCUCGCAUGGCAGGUCACCAGACCCUAAUAAAAAUUUUAUUUUUUCGUGUUGUUAGGGGAGAUCGCACGGGGUGGUUUUUUUUUUGCCCCGGGUUCUCCCCUUCUGAUGUCUUUUCUUUUUCCCUUUUCUUCCCUUUCUCCUCUCCCCAUUUUCUAACUUCCUCCCAAACUACAUCGCCAUCAUAUUUGCCUAUAUUUCAUCGUCAACUUAUCAUAACGAAAGCAUCCAUGGGAGCUCUACGGUGGUCGUCAUCAACCUGCGAACUAUGAGGUACAAGUGAACUAAUAUCUAAUGUCACUUUUACAAGGAAAAGAAGCGUAUUAUAUAAUUUAUUUUACUGAAUAAUUUAUUUCAGCCAAUUUUUUGGAUAAUCAGCAUGUGAAAUGUAUGAAUAUCGAAGUAACUAACACGUCUGAUCUGAGUUUAAUGCACUCUACCCAAAAGCAGAUUUUAGCAUGCAAUUCACUCGUUAAUUUAUUUCUUCCAGUUUAUUCAUCACGUAUCAUUAUAAAAAUGAUCAAUCAAAGGUGUUACAUCCUAUUGCAAUUCUUCAAUUUAUUUCCUCCAGUUUUUUCAUCAGGUAUCAUUAUAAAAAUGAGCAAUCAAAGGUGUUACAUACUUCUUGCAAUUCUUUAAUCACAUCAGACCUGCCAUUCUUGAAUCACUUCUGUUGUGGUCUAAUAUGAUGCGAUCUAUCCUUCGGGAAAAUGCCCAUGUUAAUUACGAAAGCAAAGCUUGAUCAUAUUUUUGCUAUGCCAGCAAUCGUGCCAUGCAAAUAAUAUUAGUUUGUAGUGGUUUCAAUGAGAUCUUGCAGAGUCUUGCUCUACUUUUUUAUUCGUACAUGCAUGAGUCUUUACUGUUAUUUGUUUUUGGUCGAACUAUAGUUGACCUUAUGAAAUCUAGUUAUUGUUCUGUUGUAAAAUGUGUUAUUUUCUGUAGAAGGGAGAUUGUGUGUAGUGUUAGCCUCUUGGAGGCAAUUGUGCGUACAUGUUCGGAUCCUUGGUGAGCGUCUGUGUAUGGUAGUAUUGUGUUAUGGUCGCCGGAUUUGGCUGCUCGAGUUCGAGGCAAAUCUCUGCAACAGCCAGACACUUCAGGGGAGACUUUUGGAGUCAAGAUGCUGUCAGCAACUCUGACCUUAAGUGGCGUGCCUCAGCUGAACGACGGGAUCUUCUGGUGGUGCAAAAAAAAAAUAAAAAAUAAAAAACGGCGAAUGCUCUUGAGAGCACAAUAUUUAGAUGGCAGCAGCUACAACUACUCCGCUCAGAGUCCGUGUGUGUUGAGGUAUUUCUGACUUUAGUGGGUGAGCUUCAGCUUGUGCCGACCGACCAUUGCUGUUCUAUAGCAAAGCACGGGAUUUUCUGAAAGCUUUCCAUUUUGUUCCAUCCAGCAUGUUCUACACCCUCAUUGUUGCUAUUCCAUGCGAAAUCUAUUUUUUGUUGUCCUAGCAAUGGUGGAAUGUGCAUGUGGAUGUUGUUGCGGUAUUGGUGGCUUUUGCAUGAAGGGCAAGGGAUUCUCCUGGAAGUAUGGUAAUCAACUUUCUAUAAGUUUCAAGCUAUUUCUUUUUUAGCCGUGUUCUAAUUUGGAGGUCAGUUAAGUGGUAGUUUGGAAUGAUGAUUUUAGUUCGAUUAUGCAGUAUAUGGCUAAUUUAUUUUAUCAUGGUUGUGAAAGUGUAAUCUGAUGGACUAAUUUGUGUUAUAUUUAAUUGGAUGUAUGCGGCCUUUA
This is a non-coding RNA of Elaeis guineensis (African oil palm), 2828 nucleotides long. The record is from RefSeq and is a predicted model, not a curated record. NCBI's taxonomy places the organism in Eukaryota, Viridiplantae, Streptophyta, Magnoliopsida, Arecales, Arecaceae.